Molecule: transfer RNA, 93 nt
Filed under: Thermoproteus tenax Kra 1
Lineage: Archaea; Thermoproteati; Thermoproteota; Thermoprotei; Thermoproteales; Thermoproteaceae
Description: transfer RNA-Pro(TGG)
Rfam family: tRNA
About the family: Transfer RNA (tRNA) molecules are approximately 80 nucleotides in length.
Source: RNAcentral
GGGGCCGUGGUCUAGCCUGGUAGGAUGCGCGGCUUGGGCCCGCGAGACCCCGGACGGCGGACGCCGGGGGAAGUUCAAAUCCCGGCGGCCCCA